Non-coding RNA from Phrynosoma platyrhinos (Desert horned lizard), 72 nucleotides. Lineage: Eukaryota; Metazoa; Chordata; Lepidosauria; Squamata; Phrynosomatidae. The record is from the annotation of a GenBank genome assembly.
GUCAAUGUGGUAUAGUGGUUUGAGCAUUGGACUAUGAUUCCAGAGGCCAGGGUUUGAUUCCCCACUUGGCCA